Molecule: unclassified non-coding RNA, 243 nt
Filed under: Glomus sp.
Lineage: Eukaryota; Fungi; Glomeromycota; Glomeromycetes; Glomerales; Glomeraceae
Description: partial contains 5.8S ribosomal RNA and internal transcribed spacer 2
Rfam family: 5.8S ribosomal RNA (bases 1-65)
Source: RNAcentral
GUGAAUCAUCGAAUCUUUGAACGCAAAUUGCACUCUCUUCGGAGAGUAUGCCUGUUUGAGGGUCAGCCUAAAAAAAAAAUCGACAUCGUUGCUGUUUCGCGGUGUCGUUCGUCGGACAUUGGUUUAUCUUAAAUCUUUUGUUUAAGCGACUUACAAUUUUCUUUACUAUUCCAUGAACGUUUCCAAAAUUUAUUUCUUUACACGUUUAAGGUAUCGAUUUUAUUAGUCCUGGUCGUUAUAUCG